AGAUUCUUCAAGAUAAUCAUUGGUUCUCAAACAUAAACAUUUCAUGCAUUUCAUUCAGUCCAGGCCAAGACAGUCUGUCCCUUUCCCAAAGAUGGCGUUGGAGGUCAGGGUCUUCCACUCAUGAAAACAGUUGGUUGUUCUUCACCAAGAACAACCAUCAACCAAAGCCUCAGGCAGCCUCCGCAGAAGUCUAUCAGAGCUGAAAUGGAUCUCUCAAAUGCAGCCAAGGCUAUGUCGACAUAUACACAGAAAUUGAGGAAGGAUGCCUUUCCAAUGUCUGAAAAAAGUAAUGUUAUUCUCUUAGUUUUGCUCACAAGUAAUCAGAAUCAGA
Molecule: long non-coding RNA, 331 nt
Organism: Girardinichthys multiradiatus
Lineage: Eukaryota; Metazoa; Chordata; Actinopteri; Cyprinodontiformes; Goodeidae
Exons: 3
Source: RefSeq, a predicted model, not a curated record